UGAGGAAUAUUGGUCAAUGGUCGCAAGACUGAACCAGCCAUGCCGCGUGCAGGAAGACGGUCCUAUGGAUUGUAAACUGCUUUUAUACAGGAAGAAACCCCUCCCACGUGUGGGAGCUUGACGGUACUGUAGGAAUAAGGAUCGGCUAACUCCGUGCCAGCAGCCGCGGUAAUACGGAGGAUCCAAGCGUUAUCCGGAAUCAUUGGGUUUAAAGGGGUCCGUAGGCGGUCUUAUAAGUCAGUGGUGAAAGCCCAUCGCUCAACGAUGGAACUGCCAUUGAUACUGUAAGACUUGAAUGCUUAGGAAGUAACUAGAAUAUGUAGUGUAGCGGUGAAAUGCUUAGAUAUUACAUGGAAUACCAAUUGCGAAGGCAGGUCACUACUAAGUGAUUGACGCUGAUGGACGAAAGCGUGGGGAGCG
This 420-nucleotide ribosomal RNA is filed under the name uncultured bacterium. RNAcentral's name for it is "partial 16S ribosomal RNA". It matches the Rfam family "Bacterial small subunit ribosomal RNA", at positions 355 to 770 of the family's 1533-position model. The record is from RNAcentral.